RNAcentral lists this ribosomal RNA (486 nucleotides) under uncultured bacterium. RNAcentral's name for it is "bacterial SSU rRNA". It matches the Rfam family "Bacterial small subunit ribosomal RNA", at positions 28 to 533 of the family's 1533-position model. The record is from RNAcentral.
GAUGAACGUUGGCGGCGUGCCUAAUACAUGCAAGUCGAACGGAGAUUGUAGCAAUACGGUCUCAGUGGCGAACGGGUGAGUAACGCGUUGGUGACCUGCCCCGAAGUGUGGAAUAACAGAUCGAAAGAGCUGCUAAUACCGCAUAAUAUCCAGAGGACUAGAUGCCUUUGGAUUAAAGGAUUUAUUCGCUUCGGGAGGGGCCUGCGUCCCAUCAGCUAGUUGGUAAGGUAAAGGCUUACCAAGGCUAUGACGGGUAGGGGACCUGAGAGGGUGGCCCCCCACAAUGGAACUGAAACACGGUCCAUACACCUACGGGUGGCAGCAGUAGGGAAUAUUAGAAAUGGACGAAAGUCUGAUCUAGCAACACCGCGUGUGCGAAGAAGGCCUUCGGGUUGUAAAGCACUUUUGGAAGGAUUAGGAAGGAAUGUACUUCCAGAAUAAGUCUCGGCUAACGUACGUGCCAGCAGCCGGGUAAUACGUAGCGUG